This 402-nucleotide ribosomal RNA is filed under the name Fusobacteriota bacterium. RNAcentral's name for it is "Fusobacteria bacterium partial 16S ribosomal RNA". It matches the Rfam family "Bacterial small subunit ribosomal RNA", at positions 355 to 776 of the family's 1533-position model. Lineage: Bacteria; Fusobacteriati; Fusobacteriota. The record is from RNAcentral.
UGGGGAAUAUUGCACAAUGGAGGGAACUCUGAUGCAGCGACGCCGCGUGAACGAAGAAGGCUUUCGAGUCGUAAAGUUCUUUUAUAUGGGAAGAUAAUGACGGUACCAUAGGAAAAAGCCCCGCCUAACUACGUGCCAGCAGCCGCGCUAAUACGUAGGGGGCGCGCGCUGUCCGGAAUAUCUGGGCGUAAAGGGUUCGCAGGCGGAAAUGCAAGUCAGGUGUAAAAGGCUGUAGCUAAGUACUGUAAGCAUUUGAAACUGCAUAUCUUGAGAGGAGUAGAGGUAAGUGGAAUUUUUAGUGUAGCGGUGAAAUGCGUAGAGAGUAAAAAGAACACCGGUGGCGAAGGCGACUUACUGGGCUCAUUCUGACGCUGAGGAACGAAAGCGUGGGUAGCAAACAGG